UGGUUGCGUCAUUGUGUUGGAUGUUGCUCCCGUGGUUCUAGGAUAAAGGGGUUCUCAUUCUAGGGUUGGGGAUGCUGCUCCCGCAUAGCUCCUUGCUAAGCACCGCAUGCCAUGACGUCCGUCGACUCGAUCUGCACGGACAAUGACAGGAUAAGAGUACCUUGUCCCUUUUAGCGGGGUGCUCCAACUUUGGAUGCCGGUGAAGCUUUUGCAAUGAUGGCUGCAUCAUUAAACUGAGGUAAACAUGCCAAAUUCUUUUGUCAAAUGAAAACAUGUCUGUCUAUUUUGCUUGUUAGGACUAAGAUAUCUAGCUAUCAAUGAAAUUUUCAAAGUUGUUUUUGUUGCCUCUGUGUAAUCUUGAUAACAACUUCUUGGAAGGUUCAGAUGUGUGGCAAAGGAUUUCAAUUUUCUUGUUUACAGAGAGAAAACUGGAGGAAGGUUUAGACUUCUCAUGCUCAUUUUGAGCUCUCAAGGUUACAUAGACAAAAUUGCCUCCUAUUUACACAAAGGAAACCCGAGGAAGGUUCAGAUUUCUCAUGACUGCUUCUUCGGUAUUUCAUGCAUGUGUUGUAUUAUUAGGAAAAUGUAGUUUGUUUUAUAGCCGAUGAUGCUCGAUGUUUUUUAUCGAUUAGUAAAUGCUGAGUUUUAGCUCAUAAACUACAUGGCAAAAGCUAAUUCUGAUGGGUCUGAUGCAAAUAAUUUUCAUCUUCAUACAUGCCUUGAGUUGAUUAUUUAAUCCUUUUGUAUUAAUCUAUUUAGCUUUGUAUUAUUGCAGUUUCAUUAUAUAUGCACUUACAAAUGCAUCUAAAGAUGCAAGAAUGUAGAAACCACCAUCAGUCUUGGGACUACAAAUUGUUUCUUCAUUCCUCCUUGUUGCACUGUAGGUGCUAAGGUGUUGAGGUCGUAUAUUCAUCGAGGCAUCAAUACACUUUAGUUUCCUUUUCCUUCUCCCUAUUUUUGUUAUUGCAUUUAUUUAUUCUUAUUGGACCUCUUUGUCUAAAGCUUUAAUAUGGUUUUGAUUGGUGCCCUGCAUCCCCUAAAAAUUAAAUGCUAACAUCCUCUCAGUUUCCGAAUGAAUUUCUUAAAUUUCCUUUCUCUUAUUGGAUCACAUACCUAAUUUAUUUGUUGUCCUUGAAGAAAAUAUCAUGACAUGAGCUUGAUGAUUUCAAAGAUAUAGGUAGUUGACAAAAAGAGGAUACACUGAUUUAGUAUCUUAUCUAAUUAGUGGGCUAAUUCUAAAAAAUAACAAAUAAAGAGAUUUCUUAAUUAGCAGUAUUGUAUAUGUUUGGAGCAGUGUAAUAAUUUAUCCUAUAUGACUUUCUUUCUCUUGCCAAAAAUUCAUCAAUGUGAGGCUCAAAUAUAGACGGGUUCGAAAGGCUUGGAUAUGCAUCCCACUAAACGACGUACGCCAAAGGUAUUAUUCGAUGUCGGUGUCCCCUUUUAGGAGAGUUAUUCUUAUUUGAUUUUGCACAUCUCUCCAUGGUGCUAUGUUUGUGGGGGUAGGGGUAGUCUUCAUGCUUUGAACGAAACUGAUUUUUUUCUAGCGAUUCUUUCGGCUGUUGACAUGAGGCAUACAGUUCUCUCAUACAUAAUUGCUGCUAAAUAAGUGAUACAAACAGAGUUUUGUAGUUAUGUGCUAACUCAUACAAACAUAUUCUAGCAAAAUGGAAAGAAUGUACUAAAAAUUAAGCCAUGACCCUACAGUUUCUCAAGAUGUGUGUCAGUUUGGCGACACGACUCGUAACUGUGUCCUUUCUUUUUUUUAAGUGAAACAUUAUGGUUUUCAUAUGAAACUCUAAUAAUAUGUAUAUACAUUUGGUAUGUCGAUCAGAUUUAUGGUCAAGAUAAGCCCAAUUGAAUGAAGGUGAGUAUCAAUCUCGGCUUAAGAUCUCAAACUUUGUUAUCUAGCUAUUGUUGAUACUUAAGGGAAGUUAACUCACAGCCAUCUCAUUUCAUGCAAGAUUAGUGACUUGAUAUACAUUCUUAGGGGUAAAUAAUAUCAGUUAUUUACUGAGUGAGCUAUCAGCUUUGGAUCCUUUCAAAUUGAAGCUCAAAUUUGUUGGCAUUUUCAGGUGUCAAGCAAUUCUCAUGUCUAAUUUAUACAUGGUUCAAAUAUAUCAUUGCUUGAUCUAGCUAUAUGGUUCUCAAUUGUUUGCUCUUGCAUUGGCUAUAAACCCUACACACUAUGGAUUCAUGAGAAACAAAGCUGGUAGAUAACUACUUACUAUAUUUUGUGCCGUGUAAAAAAAUAAUUUAUGUAUGCUAAGUAUGCUACAUGAAGUGUGAAUGCAAGAUCUCUCGUAACUGUUUCUUUCUAUCUUUUUUCUUUUAAUCUCCAAUCAUUGUUCAUACUUUAUUACUACAGGAAUGGAAGAUAUAUUAUCUAGAAAAUAAACCUCUUCAACCUGAUGCUCCAUGAUGUUGUCAGGCUCCAUUUGAUUCUGGAUGCCUCCUUUGGUUAGUAAUUCACCUACUCUUAAUAAUUGCCUGCAAUUUGUAAAUCAACGGUACUUUAAGUAAGCUGACUGGUUGUUCUUUUGCUUUAUCAUCUCAAUAUAGUGAUUGUAACAUAUUUGGGUGGUCUGCAAUGUGCACUUGUACUUGUACAUUUCAAGGUAUAUAAUAGUGAUGCUUGUUACACUAAUAUGUCACAUAGGCAAUGGUGUCCAAGAUGUUCAGAAUAUUGUGAGCGAUGGGCCAAGCCUGAAUAUAUAUGCGUAUCGGUGGAUGAGGAGUAGAAUGACAAGGAGUUGAGCGAUUAGGCUAACUCAAUUAUUUUAGGUAUUUCAUAGUGUUGCUUUCCAUUGUUAGUUCAAACUGAAUAUUUGUUCAACAAAAAACAAGAAGUUUUUGAGUCAUGCCUUUUGUUUUCUUCAUUAGAGAUCCACCCAAUGAAAUGAUCGGGGGUAAGUAAACCCAUUGAGUUGAUGACAUCAUGUGACCGCCGGAACGGCAUGACGUGGACACCUAUGGCCAGGACAGUUGUUGUGCGCGCAGGCGCUUAGCCAUUGAGCCCGUGGCCUUAUUCCUAUAGAUGUACCCCAUCCCCCUAUCCCCUAAUCCUCUAUGGUUGCUCACAGAAUUUGCAGGUUAUUUGACAUGAUUUACGUCACAAAUCUGAAUUUCUCUAGACCUGGCAACUCCUCUUGUCCUUCACAGUCCUUGGAUUCACUGGAGUCUGGACACAGCAGGCAUGCAAAAGGCCCGGUUUCAGUUUGUCCAGAGAUGAGUCAAGUAGACAGGGAAUGGAGGGAAUAGUUUUCUUUGAACUUCUAAAGUUUUGGGAGGAACACCCUGUUUCCAAAUCUUAGCUCCGCCACUGAUAGGUGGGGUUCCCACCAAGGAGGCAGCAUCCACUUCUUCGGAGGACGAGGCCAGAAGUCCCAUGAGCAUCUGCGGAAUAGGAGGAGUCAUAGGAGGCUGAGAGUGAUGAAAGGGAGCACGAGAUGGUGCUCUCGCUGCAAGAUAGGGAGCUAUGCCAAUAGUCGUUGUGGGCUUGUGGCGCUGGUCGCGUGGGCGCAUCACCAACCAUAAUCGUCGAGGCUGUGGCACAGGGGUCGUGUUUUCUGUUGGCCCGACGAUUACCCCACCGCGAUGAUAAGGCGACUCCCCCAACCCGAUGGUUAUAAGUUACAGGUUUCCUGUUUCCUUACAUUCCGUCGUGAUGGCACAGUCAUGCGUGCAGUGCCAGCAAUGAGACCAGCAUCGCGUCCCCAUCACUGGAUCUACUAAUGAGGGGAAGGAAGAAGGAAGAGCGCAUGUUUUGGACGGACGCUUUCUUGGGAAGCUAAUGAUUUGAAUCCUUCUGUGAAACGAAACAGGAAGCUCGGUCUAUUUGUUAAUUAUAAGUGGCUAUUCUUUUACAGGAAACAAUUUAUUCUUCAGUCUCAUUGCCUUUAUAUGGAAGACGACACCAAAAGAGAAGUCUGGGGAGUUGCUUGGUCCUAUGGCAUGUGAAAAUUAGAAUCAAUUGAUGGAUGAUCGAUUGAAUCAACAAUUCAACAUGCUGCAAGUUGGGUAGAGGAAUUGAAACGCAGGUUCGGUUCAGAGGUCUUUUUCUUCAGCGUGUGAUUCAGAUUACAAAUACAAUACGUACUGAGCAUACCAGCGUUUCCACGGCGAACCCCACCAAACUGCCAGCCUAGAUGCACAAGCCUACACCGAUGACGCCCCUCAGGUUGCGGUCUCCUCCGGUGAAUCCUUCGUUGAUACCUUGUUUUCAGUUUCUUCAGAGUCCAGUUGGUUGCCAGUCGGUGGCAGGCAUAUGCAUCAUCUUUCCAUCAAUUUCCCAUCACUGCAUCUUGUUUUUAGUUUCUUUAUAAUCGGCGGUCGGUGACACGGCAUCCAUCUUCGUAUAGCACUAGAUGUGUUGCAAAUAGUUUGCUUUACCUGUUUGUCGAUUUUUACUCGGGCGGAUCUUUUUAUGCUUUGUGUGGUUCCGACGGUGGCCGCCAUGAUCGAGGUUCCUACCAUCCUGUUCGGUCGAUCACGAGACCAUGGAAUAUCACGACGGAUUCAGUCGACGACCAAUGUAGUCAGACAGAAAGCUUGACAUUUGCAAAUGGAACAUAAGCACUCGGUGUUAGAGCCAUUGCCAGUUGACAAGGCCAUUGAUGUGGUCAAGAUCAGGUUUUGGAUUGGAUAAUGAGCCUCUUUCAGAGAGAAUUACAUCAUAAUGCAUCAUACAUAGUUGCCUGGAUGAAUUAUGAUUAUGUAUAUUCAGUAUGAUUGUUGAUUCCGAAGUCUUCCAGGGAACAAGAUGCCCCACUUGUUAUCAUGUUGUGUGGAUUAAAACAAAUUUAUCACCCAUGGUGUUUAUAAAGCUUAGCCAAAAUUUAUCAAGGAGGAGCGCUCGAGGCAUGCGAUCAUUGGCAAGUAAAUCCAUCUAAGGAGGAGCACUCGAGGCAUGCAAUCGGUUCUGGAGAAGAAGGGGAGGUGCUGGUUGCAGGGUGCUGGAGCUGAGACGACCACAUGCAUGUCUGAGAAGAACAGGCUCAUCGAUGUCACCUCCCUCACCUUUGUCAUCUGCUGUUGUGUGCGGAUCAAUCUAAACAUGUUUUUUUGGUUAGUUUGUCUAUUUUUUUUAGGGAUAAACUUCAUUAAUUGAAGCAGCAUAUGUUGGAGAAUGUAGAUUCAGCAUUUGUUUGAGUAGCUUUGGAGGUAUUCUAUACGACCUAUGAGUGAUAUACCCUCCUCUCUCCUCCAUCCAUUUCACUCAAGUAGUCAAGUUAACCCAGUACACACAUGUGUAGUCUGCCUUUAGGUGGUUUUCCCUUCGCUACAUAUAAUGUAGUUUUAUGAAUUUUCGAGCUCUUAUUAUACCAGACUAAGUGGUUAUAUUGUA
Long non-coding RNA from Hordeum vulgare subsp. vulgare (domesticated barley), 5344 nucleotides. RefSeq lists it as uncharacterized. Lineage: Eukaryota; Viridiplantae; Streptophyta; Magnoliopsida; Poales; Poaceae. The transcript has 6 exons. The record is from RefSeq and is a predicted model, not a curated record.